GUGUCAGCAGCCGCGGUAAUACGUAGGAUGCGAGCGUUGUCCGGAUUUACUGGGCGUAAAGAGCGCGCAGGUGGCAUGUCAAGUACCAAGUGAAAUCUCCCUGCUCAACGGGGAGGGUGCUUUGUAGACUGGCAAGCUAGAGGACGGUAGAGGGGGGUAGAAUUGCUGGUGUAGCGGUGAAAUGCGUAGAGAUCAGCAGGAAUACCCGUGGCGAAGGCGGCCCCCUGGGCCGUACCUGACGCUGAGGCGCGAAGGCUAGGGGAGCGAACGGGAUUAGAUACCCUUGUAGUCC
Molecule: ribosomal RNA, 292 nt
Filed under: uncultured bacterium
Lineage: Bacteria
Description: partial 16S ribosomal RNA
Rfam family: Bacterial small subunit ribosomal RNA
Source: RNAcentral